This 254-nucleotide ribosomal RNA is filed under the name uncultured bacterium. RNAcentral's name for it is "partial 16S ribosomal RNA". It matches the Rfam family "Bacterial small subunit ribosomal RNA", at positions 524 to 776 of the family's 1533-position model. The record is from RNAcentral.
UACAGAGGUGCCAAGCGUUAGGCGGAAUCACUGGGCUUAAAGCGCGUGUAGGUGGGUCGUUAAGUGUCCGCGUGAAAUCCCACGGCUCAACCGUGGAACUGCCGGGCAUACUGGCGAUCUUGAGGCAUUCAGGGGCGAGCGGAACAAAUGGUGGAGCGGUGAAAUGCGUAGAUAUCAUUUGGAACGCCCACGGUGAAAACAGCUGGCUGGGGAAGUGCUGACGCUGAGACACGAAAGCCAGGGGAGCGAACGGG